CGUCAAGAGCAAGGAAGGGAGAGCAAAGACGUCGACCCUGGGUUGGGCAUGUUGGCUUGCUAAGGAUUGCUGCUGCCGGCUCCUUGUCUUAUGAUGUUCAAGUCAGGUUUAUCCACAGCUGAACACUCAGUGAGGAUUAUUCAGCCUUCACUUUGUGCCAUGUGGUGCAACACAGGAAAUUAGCAGUGUGAUCAAGAGUCUCACUUGUGAGGGGUUCCUGCUGUGGCCCAGUGGGUUAAGGAUCCCAAGUUGCCGCCGCUUCGGUAUAGGUCACAGCUGCAGCUCAAAUUCAGUCCCUGGACUGGGCACGUCCAUAUGCCACAGGUGUGGUCAUAAAAAGGGGGGGGGGGAUGUGACUCUCUUAUGAGAUGGAGAAACUGACUCCUAGAGAAGUCACUUACUCUAUGGUGGUCUCACAACCCAUGUGUGAGGGACCUGGGCCUUGGCUCCAGCUCUUCCUGAGUCCACCUUUUAUCAUUCCUCUUUCUGUGGCUGAUUUCUAGUGUCAUGCUGUUGUGGUCUGAGUCCUUUUGAAUCACAUAUUCUCUGCAUAUGUCAUGGCCUUUGGAAGAGGAUCCCUUGUAAGUUUUUUUUUAAUACCCCUAAAUGUGGAAUCUGUAACAUUUCUUACUUUAAACUCCUCUACUGGGUACAAGUUCUUUGGCUAUUGCCUAGCACAUGCCAUCUCUCUGAUGAGGCCUGAACAUACUUUGAUUUUGAAUGCAUAUUGAUGUAUAUAUUAUGGUGAGUUCAUCUGACUUUAUAACAUGUAGCUUUAACUUCUCUAUUUUUUCCUUCUUUAGUUGAUUCAUCCACCAACUAUCUGCAUACAUAGGGAAAAAAUACUUUCGUCUCUUUUCUUUCAUUUAGGAAAAUUGAAAGACACUAGAUUUUCAAACUCCCACCCAAAUAAAGUAGGCAGGUUCCUACAUUCUGUAAAAAGUACAGCAUCUGGUGAAUGGAGCAUGUUAGAAUUUCCAUUAAGAAUUCUCCCAGGCUCUAGUUUUCUGGAGCCGUGUGGUAUUCUCCCAGUGAACCCGGAAGUAUGUUUUUUUAAGAAUUUCUUGGAGUUCCCAUUGUGCUGCAACAGAAACAAAUCCAACUAGGAGCCAUGAAGUUGCGGGUUUGAUCCCUGGCCUCAGUGGGUCAAGGAUCUGGCAUUGCUGUGAGCUGUGGUGUAGGUCGUAGACGCAGCUUGGAUCUUGUGGCUGUGGUGUAGGCGGGCAGUUGUAGCUCCGAUUUGACCCCUAGCCUGGGAACCUACAUAUGCACUUGCGGCACUAGAAAGCAAAAAAAAAAAAAAAAAAAAAAAGGAAUUCCUCUUUAUUUGAGGCCAGCUGCAUCCUUGCCCUUUCUCUGAGUGGCUCUGGGCCAUCAGUGCAGUAGUGGUAGCUCUGGGAGGAGAGCCACUGCUUCAGGGGCCCGAGCAUUGGGGCCAUCGUCAUGUGUCCAGUGUUGUGGGCUCUUAUCGUUGUCCUCACCCCAAGGGCCUUUGAGGAUGGGGGCCACAGUUCUCCCUCUGAUUCUCCCAUCACAGCUGCAUAAUUGGUUGUAAAACUUUCACUUUUAGAUAAAAACUUAUUUUGGCAACCAUGCAUCCUCUCUGUAAUUCAUUUAGAAACGGCAGCAUUUCUAUUAGUGGAAAAGCAAGCUCAAGCAUCACAUAGCCUGGCUAAUAUGUGUUGAUAAUUGCAUAUUGUUUGAUAACUAUAAACUGGGAGGUUGCACUAAUAAAAGGUAUUAAUUUCCAAGACAGCCAGCAAGGGGACUGGAGAUAGAUGGCUUGCAAAUUCACCCCUGCCAUUUUGCCUUGUUUGGCUAUGUUUAAGUUAGCGGGGAUUGAUCUGAGUGCUAAUAAUGCAGCGGAAAAAAUUUUUUGUACUAAAUAGGGUGUUUGGAGAUGGAAAACUUUGUGUCAGUAUGGGGACAUAGUGACUGCUGAUGGGGCAGAUGGUUUUUCAGAUAAUUGCUCAGGACUCAGAAUGCCAUGGCAAGGGUUUCUCAGAAGUUUGCAGCUCAGCACAAGCCUUGUAUGGUCAAAAAGGAGUCUGUCUGCCUUUGCGUCCAUAUUUCACAUAAUCUGAUAGUCAAGGCGCGCACUUGUAGAGAGAGAGGAGGAAGAGAAAUUGAAAGACGUGGGCUUGAGACUGGCUCUUUCCCAAAACCGAAAGCCCUGGGCCACAGGUGUUCCAUGCACUGAACCUCAGUUCUCCCACAUUUGAGGAAUGUAGCUGUUUUGUGAGGGCCCCUAUGGGCAAUACUGGAGAUCACGUAGAUAGGGGAAACCACGCCUAAAGAAAAAAAAAAAAAAGAGAGAUUCCCAUUGUGGCAGAGAAUCCACCUAGUAACCAUGAGGUUUCAGGUUUGAUCCUCGGCCUUGCUCAGUGGGUUAAGGAUCUGGCGUUGCCGUGAGCUGUGGUGUAGGUUGCAGACGCAGCUCGGAUCUCAUGUUGCUGGCGUAGGCCAGCAGCUACAGCUCUGAUUGGACCCCUAGUCUGGGAACCUCCAUAUGCAGCAGGUGUGGCCCUAAAAAGCAAAAAAUAAAAUAAAAUAAAAAAACUUUCUAAGUGUGAGGAAACUGGAUACCUCCCCUUAAUUUACAGAGGAGACGAAUGGGCCUAGGAUGCAUCACUGUAAGUCUAUUCUUUAUAUUCUAGUCUGUUUCAAAUCACCACCCCUGGGUAGCACUUGUAGUUUCUCUCUUUAAGAAAAAAGAAAAAUGAAAAAAUCAGUUUUUGACCUAUUCUCUGGGGCUGGCUGUGCCUUUUUUUGUAACCCAGAUUCCUGUGGCUUGCACUGGGUCAUUACUUCGGGCUAUCUGAUUGCCUGAGAAGAUCUUGCUCUCUGUGUUCCAAUGUGUUCCAAGUGAACCCUCUUGGGCUUGGAAAAGGCACUGUCUAGAAUGUGUGACUAAUGGGCUGUUGAAGGUGUUAGACGUAGCCCAAGAACCCAGUGAAUCAGCGGCUGACUGUUGUCUUCAGUGGUUAACGCCAUCCCCCCCACCAAAGAUAAGAUUCCCCUGAACAAAUAAGUUUGAAUGAAGCAGGACUGAUGGCAGAGCUGGAAAUCAAAUGAGAAUAAAAUUACUACUAUUCUUCAAGGGAUUUCUUUCUUUCUUUCUUUCUUUCUUUCUUUCUUUCUUUCUUUCUUUCUUUCUUUCUUUCUUUCUUUCUUCCUUUCUUUCUUCUGUACUCUCAGCACAUAGAAGUUCCAGGCCAGGGAUUGAAUCUGAGCCGCAGCUGUAAGCUACACCUCAACUGCAGCAACUUGGGAUCCUUUAACCCAUUGCUCCUGGCCCAGAAUCAAACCUUCUCUGCUUCAGGUCUCUGAAGCAACCUGAGCUGCUGCAGUCAGAUUCUUAACCCACUGUGCCAUGGCAGCAAAUCCUUUAUUUUUAUUUUUACUUAAGAAAAAAAAGUUUUUUUUAAUCAAGGGAUUGUUUUUUUUCUUAUGGCUUAACAGGGGUCAGACUUCUCAAGGAAGAGGAUGAAUAUUAUCCUUCAAGGAAAGAUCUCAGAAAUUUAUUUUACCCUUUUGAAAUUUGGUGGCUUAUGUACAUUAGAAACGUAUAACUGGGAGGCAGCUGUUAUGUUUAAUUGUAUUAGAAGAAAGUAGUGGGGUUGAAAGAGAAGAAUCCAGAAGAGAUCGUUACCUUUUAAAAUCUUUAUCAAGAUUAUGUUAUAGCCUCUGACUAAAUAAAAAAUAACUCACACUUUUCAUCUAAGGAUGCUAAUGGAAUAAAUGCUGUGGUGAUACUGUUUUCCUUCCAGUCCUCGCUCCAGCUGAGCCCUGAGGGAGUCGUGGACAGGGAAGUGUGCAUCCUCUCAUCUGGAGGCUGAAUUCUUUUAGCAGAGCCAACAUGGGUCCCAAGAACAUCAUAGGGCUUAGCUUGGACUCGUGUCUCUGGCUGUCCAGGUGGAGACCUCCAUUUUUUUUUUUUUCUUUCUUUUUUUCUUUUUAAGGCCACACCUGUGACAUAUGAAAGUUCCCAGUCUAGAGAUCGAAUCAGAGCUGCCUAUGAUGGAACCAGCCUAUGACGCCACAGCCACAGCAAUGCAGGACUGAGCCUCAUUUUUUUUUUUUUUUUUUUUUUUUUUNNNNNNNNNNNNNNNNNNNNNNNNNNNNNNNNNNNNNNNNNNNNNNNNNNNNNNNNNNNNGUAGCUGCCAGCCUACGCCAGAGCCACAGCAACGCGGGAUCCGAGCCAUGUCUGCAACCUACACCACAGCUCACAGCAACGCUGGAUCGUUAACCCACUGAGCAAGGGCAGGGACCGAACCCGCAACCUCAUGGUUCCUAGUCGGAUUCGUUAACCACUGCGCCACGACGGGAACUCCUGAGCCUCAUCUUCUACCUACGCUGUGGCAACACUGGAUCUGGAUCCUUAACCCACUGAGCGAGGCCCGGGAUUGAACCUGCAUCCUCAGGGACACUGUGUUGGGUUCUUAACCCACAGGCUGAGCCACAACAGGAGCUCCUCCAUGUAUUUUCACUAUGGUGAUGGGAUGAAUGGUCCCCAUCGCUUAGCCUCGGCAUAAUUGCAACCUUAGCCUCGGCAUAAUUGCAACCUCUGGGUAACUUAAGAGACAGUCCUGACAAUAGAAUGCCAUCCUUUUCCAUUUAGAGUCUGGCACCCCUUUGCUGCAUGUGCUUUUUGUCUUGCACGCGUGCUCUCUGCAAAACUUCCUCCAGCCAAAGAUUGAUGUGCCUGGAUGAUUGAUGGUGGUGAUUGUCGGGGACUUUUGAAGCCCAUCCAAUUUCAGGAUUUGGCUUCUCAUUUCUUGUCAUUUAUGGCACAUUUGAUGAAUUCUCGCUAUCAGCUGACAUGUUUCAUAAUUGUCAAAACUUUGAUUGAAGCGGUAUUUCUGAGGAAAACAACAAUGGAAGAGAAAAAAGACCAAAAGCUCCUUAACUAUGCUUUUUUUUAAAAAAAUUUUUUUCCCUGUGCGCAAAACUGCUCUGCUUCAGGUUCACAUGAUUUAGCCACUCAGCGACUUGCUGACCUUGCAAACCCGUCGCCUCACUCUCCUUUUACAGUCUUAGGCUUGCAUUUACCCUGCCUCAUAUUUUGCUUGUUUGUGCCUUUUCUAGUCCAGAUGGUAAAAGUGGUUGAACGUUGCCCUUUGGAGAAAGUUUUUAAGCUUUUCCUCCAGACAUCUUUCAAGGCGCAUCUGAGUGAGGCUUGCGUUGAGAGUAUCAAGCUCUUUCCCGGUUAUCUUAAACCUGGUGUUGGUUGAUUUGGGUUUUGUUUUUACGCCACAAGCCGACGUUCUUUGGCUGGAAUGCCGGCUCUCUAGGUCUUUGGCUGCCUUCACCACCUAGAAAUCUGCUCUGUACUUUGGAGUUGUCAUAGUCAAGGCAGCAAACAUCAGUUGGGAGUGGGUCUAGUCCCUUCGUAUGUAGAAUUGAUUGUGUUGUUGUUGUUGUUUAACCUUAUUUUCUAUUUUAAUUUCUAAAUGUUACUGUAGCCCACCUCAGUCCUGUGCAUCUUUCUAUUUCAGCAAAAAAAAAAAAAAAAAAAAAAAAAAAAAA
This 5530-nucleotide long non-coding RNA is filed under the name Sus scrofa (pig). RNAcentral's name for it is "lncRNA (ENSSSCG00005018247.1)". Lineage: Eukaryota; Metazoa; Chordata; Mammalia; Artiodactyla; Suidae. The record is from RNAcentral.